This 212-nucleotide long non-coding RNA is filed under the name Carica papaya (papaya). Its description in RNAcentral is "long non-coding RNA (CPAP_LNC006248)". Lineage: Eukaryota; Viridiplantae; Streptophyta; Magnoliopsida; Brassicales; Caricaceae. The record is from RNAcentral.
UUGAAAUUGAUUUUGGAAAAAAGUGGUGAAAAUUUAGAUUCUAGGUGUAUUUUUGAGAGGAAAAUCAGAAACCGGGGGUCAAAACGUAAUUUAAGAAAGUUGUGCCAUGUUAGCAGCCCAGUCAGCAGUCCCGACCAAUCAGAACACGCCGCAUGGCAAGGAAGCUGACGCGGGAGGCCACGCGGGACGGAGCCACGUGAGUGUCCGCGUGC